CCUACGGGAGGCAGCAGUGGGGAAUAUUGCACAAUGGGCGAAAGCCUGAUGCAGCGACGCCGCGUGAGGGAUGACGGCCUUCGGGUUGUAAACCUCUUUCAGCAGGGAAGAAGCGAGAGUGACGGUACCUGCAGAAGAAGCGCCGGCUAACUACGUGCCAGCAGCCGCGGUAAUACGUAGGGCGCAAGCGUUGUCCGGAAUUAUUGGGCGUAAAGAGCUCGUAGGCGGCUUGUUGCGUCGGUUGUGAAAGCCCGGGGCUUAACCCCGGGUCUGCAGUCGAUACGGGCAGGCUAGAGUGUGGUAGGGGAGAUCGGAAUUCCUGGUGUAGCGGUGAGAUGCGCAGAUAUCAGGAGGAACACCGGUGGCGAAGGCGGAUCUCUGGGCCAUUACUGACGCUGAGGAGCGAAAGCGUGGGGAGCGAACAGGAUUAGAUACCCUGGUAGUCCACGCCGUAAACGUUGGGAACUAGGUGUUGGCGACAUUCCACGUCGUCGGUGCCGCAGCUAACGCAUUAAGUUCCCCGCCUGGGGAGUACGGCCGCAAGGCUAAAACUCAAAUGAAUUGACGG
Molecule: ribosomal RNA, 568 nt
Filed under: uncultured bacterium
Lineage: Bacteria
Description: bacterial SSU rRNA
Rfam family: Bacterial small subunit ribosomal RNA
Source: RNAcentral